GAUGAACGCUCGCGGUAGGCUUAAUACAUGCAAGUCGAGGGGCUGCACAAGGUACCUUGCUAUCUGGGCGGCGACAGACUCACGGGUGCAUGACGCGUAUGCAACUUGCCCUAUACAGGAGGAGAAGCGGUCGAAAGACGGACAAAUGCUCCGAUUGCUCACAACUUCGCAUCCAGUGGCGAGGAAAGAUAAACGGUACAGUUGAGGCAUGCGUCCCAUUAGCUUGUGGGUGAGGUAACGGCGCACUAAGGCAACGAUGGGUAGGGUAACUGGGAGGUUCGUCCCCCGCACUGGUACUGGGACACGGACCAGACUCCUGCGGGCGGCAGCAGUGCGGAAUAUUGGGCAGUGGGCGCGAGCCUGAACCAGCCAAGUCGCGUGAAGGAUGACUGGCUUGUGGAUCGUAAUCUUCUUUUAUGCGGGAAUAACAAGAGUCACGUGUGACUCCCUGACUGUACCGAAUGAAUAAGCAUCGGCUAACUCCGUG
This 487-nucleotide ribosomal RNA is filed under the name uncultured bacterium. Its description in RNAcentral is "partial 16S ribosomal RNA". It matches the Rfam family "Bacterial small subunit ribosomal RNA", at positions 28 to 507 of the family's 1533-position model. The record is from RNAcentral.